RNAcentral lists this ribosomal RNA (672 nucleotides) under Triticum aestivum (bread wheat). Its description in RNAcentral is "partial small subunit ribosomal RNA". The record is from RNAcentral. Lineage: Eukaryota; Viridiplantae; Streptophyta; Magnoliopsida; Poales; Poaceae.
AUGACAACCAGUUGCGAGCUGUCCCCCAUGGCCACUAUAAGCGUUGACGGGCAGAUCUGUGCGGUGGAUGGGGCAGCUGCGACUGAGCGAGAUGAUGAACCGCAGGCGUCUGAGCAAUCCAUUGGCCAAGUUGAUCCGAAAACACCAGGCUGGACUCGCAGGGUUAGAAUUGGAGCUGCUGCUCCUGGCAGGGCUCCUUGCCCUGGGCGAACCAGUGCCCUUGAGAAAGCAAUUCGGGGGUUUGGUGACAAGCCUGUAAGCAUUAUGGUUGUGCCAGAAUUGGGCACAAGCUUUGAUACACUUGGGGAGGCCUAUGACUUCUGCAAUCUCUACUCGUGGGAGAAGGGGUUUGGAAUAAGAUAUGGGAAGAGUAGGUUGAAUGUGGAGAGAACAAAGUGCAUGCAGGAAAUUGUUUGCGGGUGUGCGGGUAAACCGGGUGUGGAAAACACAAGAUCAUGCCGUUGUGAAUGCCCGGCAUUAAUAAGACUACUUCGCACAAAGGGCAAUGGUUGGUACAUAGCUGAGUACCGUGAGCAGCACAACCAUUCGCUAUCUCCUACAUAUGGGCAGACAAUACACUGGCCUUCACACAAGCACAUUGAUGCUUACAAUAGAGACUUGGUCGAGCAGUUGCGACAAAACAAUGUUAACCUAGCCAAAGUUAUCUACUAA